GACGAACGCUGGCGGCGUGCCUAAUACAUGCAAGUCGAACGCUUCUUUCCUCCCGAGUGCUUGCACUCAAUUGGAAAGAGGAGUGGCGGACGGGUGAGUAACACGUGGGUAACCUACCCAUCAGAGGGGGAUAACACUUGGAAACAGGUGCUAAUACCGCAUAACAGUUUAUGCCGCAUGGCAUAAAGAGUGAAAGGCGCUUUCGGGUGUCGCUGAUGGAUGGACCCGCGGUGCAUUAGCUAGUUGGUGAGGUAACGGCUCACCAAGGCCACGAUGCAUAGCCGACCUGAGAGGGUGAUCGGCCACACUGGGACUGAGACACGGCCCAG
Molecule: ribosomal RNA, 329 nt
Filed under: uncultured bacterium
Lineage: Bacteria
Description: bacterial SSU rRNA
Rfam family: Bacterial small subunit ribosomal RNA
Source: RNAcentral